RNAcentral lists this ribosomal RNA (445 nucleotides) under uncultured bacterium. RNAcentral describes it as "partial 16S ribosomal RNA". It matches the Rfam family "Bacterial small subunit ribosomal RNA", at positions 354 to 796 of the family's 1533-position model. The record is from RNAcentral.
GUGAGGAAUAUUGGUCAAUGGGCGGGAGCCUGAACCAGCCAAGUCGCGUGAAGGAAGAAGGAUCUAUGGUUCGUAAACUUCUUUUGCAGGGGAAUAAAGUGCGGGACGUGUCCUGUUUUGUAUGUACCCUGAGAAUAAGGAUCGGCUAACUCCGUGCCAGCAGCCGCGGUAAUACGGAGGAUCCGAGCGUUAUCCGGAUUUAUUGGGUUUAAAGGGUGCGUAGGUGGUUUGAUAAGUCAGCGGUGAAAGUUUGCAGCUUAACUGUAAAAAUGCCGUUGAAACUGUCGGACUUGAGUGUAAAUGAGGUAGGCGGAAUGCGUGGUGUAGCGGUGAAAUGCAUAGAUAUCACGCAGAACUCUGAUUGCGAAGGCAGCUUACUAAGCUACAACUGACACUGAAGCACGAAAGCGUGGGGAUCAAACAGGAUUAGAAACCCCAGUAGUCC